CAGAUGAACGGUAUAACCUACAACUGGUUUCUGAAUCUUCACAAAUGGGAUACAUGAGCUGCAAAAUGACGGGGACGUUUGUUGGUCAUCAAAACCUGAGUUACAUUCUUGAUGCAGACUUUGGGAGGAGUCAGGCAGUGAAGAAGCUCUACAGGGUUUCAGCUUUAGGCAAGCUGUCCAUGUUUCAGACCUUUGCAGAGGUGACAGGGGUCUUUCCUUCAGAGGGUAGCAUCAUGGGUGGAACUCU
Long non-coding RNA from Oreochromis niloticus (Nile tilapia), 247 nucleotides. RefSeq lists it as uncharacterized. The transcript is spliced from 5 exons. The record is from RefSeq and is a predicted model, not a curated record. NCBI's taxonomy places the organism in Eukaryota, Metazoa, Chordata, Actinopteri, Cichliformes, Cichlidae.